RNAcentral lists this ribosomal RNA (446 nucleotides) under uncultured bacterium. RNAcentral's name for it is "bacterial SSU rRNA". It matches the Rfam family "Bacterial small subunit ribosomal RNA", at positions 330 to 793 of the family's 1533-position model. The record is from RNAcentral.
UCCAGACUCCUACGGGAGGCAGCAGUGGGGAAUAUUGCACAAUGGGGGAAACCCUGAUGCAGCGACGCCGCGUGAGCGAAGAAGUACCUCGGUAUGUAAAGCUCUAUCAGCAGGGAAGAAAGUGACAGUACCUGACUAAGAAGCCCCGGCUAACUACGUGCCAGCAGCCGCGGUAAUACGUAGGGGGCAAGCGUUAUCCGGAUUUACUGGGUGUAAAGGGAGCGUAGACGGCUGUGCAAGUCUGAAGUGAAAGCCCAGGGCUCAACCCUGGGACUGCUUUGGAAACUGUGGUGCUAGAGUGCUGGAGAGGUAAGUGGAAUUCCUAGUGUAGCGGUGAAAUGCGUAGAUAUUAGGAGGAACACCAGUGGCGAAGGCGGCUUACUGGACAGUAACUGACGUUGAGGCUCGAAAGCGUGGGGAGCAAACAGGAUUAGAUACCCUGGUAU